AUAAAAAAAAUAAAAAGAAGUAAGCCGAUUGAGAAAAUACUGUUUAAGAUAACAAGGGAUUUAGAAGAAAAUCAUCUACAGAAUAAUAAUGUGCUCCUUGUGAACAUACUACUCCUAUAGUAAUAAAAGAUGUUAUUUAUUUGUCAAAACCUCUACAAUUGACGUCAAGGGCUAGCUUUGUGUAAUAUACAUUGUCGAUGGUGUAUGUCAAUAAUUAUUAGGCUUUUGUUUCGACGGUUUGACGUGUUUUCGAAUAAAAUGGCGUAUCGAAAUGACCAUGGUUAUUAACUUCUUGUAGUACAUUUCAGUGGCGACGAGGAUGGGAUUAUAUAAAAAACCUUUACAAGAAACUCUAUCAGUUGAAACAAAUAAAACGGAAGAAGUUUCCAGGAAAGCCAGGAAUUCACCAAAAGUAAAAAUACUUUCUGAUAAUCUGGAUCCCAUUCUUCAUUUACCCAUGUACCAAGAUAUUUGUGCAUUGAAACUCUUUCGAGUGUUGUACAUGUGAGAGUUCUUAUUGAGGUUUGUUGCGGUUUUCUUGAUACUGUACAUAAACUUAGUCUUUGAGAGAUUCAUGCUUAGACCCGACUUUCUGCUACAUUUAUAAACGCUAUCUAUUAUUUUCUAAAGAUCUUGGGAA
This is a long non-coding RNA of Maniola jurtina (meadow brown), 640 nucleotides long. RefSeq lists it as uncharacterized. The record is from RefSeq and is a predicted model, not a curated record. Lineage: Eukaryota; Metazoa; Arthropoda; Insecta; Lepidoptera; Nymphalidae. The transcript has 2 exons.